RNAcentral lists this ribosomal RNA (1368 nucleotides) under Vibrio cholerae. RNAcentral's name for it is "partial 23S ribosomal RNA". It matches the Rfam family "Bacterial large subunit ribosomal RNA", at positions 1 to 1425 of the family's 2925-position model. The record is from RNAcentral. Lineage: Bacteria; Pseudomonadati; Pseudomonadota; Gammaproteobacteria; Vibrionales; Vibrionaceae.
GGUUAAGUGACUAAGCGUACACGGUGGAUGCCUGGGCAGUCAGAGGCGAUGAAGGACGUACUAACUUGCGAUAAGCGCAGAUAAGGCAGUAAGAGCCGUUUGAGUCUGCGAUUUCCGAAUGGGGAAACCCAACUGCAUAAGCAGUUACUGUUAACUGAAUACAUAGGUUAACAGAGCAAACCGGGGGAACUGAAACAUCUAAGUACCCCGAGGAGAAGAAAUCAACCGAGAUUCCGGUAGUAGCGGCGAGCGAACCUGGAUUAGCCCUUAAGCACUCGGUGAAGUAGGUGAACAAGCUGGAAAGCUUGGCGAUACAGGGUGAUAGCCCCGUAACCGACGCUUCAUCGAGCGUGAAAUCGAGUAGGGCGGGACACGUGAUAUCCUGUCUGAAUAUGGGGGGACCAUCCUCCAAGGCUAAAUACUCCUGACUGACCGAUAGUGAACCAGUACCGUGAGGGAAAGGCGAAAAGAACCCCUGUGAGGGGAGUGAAAUAGAACCUGAAACCGUGUACGUACAAGCAGUAGGAGCACCUUCGUGGUGUGACUGCGUACCUUUUGUAUAAUGGGUCAGCGACUUAUAUUCAGUGGCAAGGUUAACCGUAUAGGGGAGCCGUAGCGAAAGCGAGUCUUAACUGGGCGCUCAGUCUCUGGAUAUAGACCCGAAACCGGGUGAUCUAGCCAUGGGCAGGUUGAAGGUUGAGUAACAUCAACUGGAGGACCGAACCGACUAAUGUUGAAAAAUUAGCGGAUGACUUGUGGCUAGGGGUGAAAGGCCAAUCAAACUCGGAGAUAGCUGGUUCUCCCCGAAAGCUAUUUAGGUAGCGCCUCGGACGAAUACUACUGGGGGUAGAGCACUGUUAAGGCUAGGGGGUCAUCCCGACUUACCAACCCUUUGCAAACUCCGAAUACCAGUAAGUACUAUCCGGGAGACACACGGCGGGUGCUAACGUCCGUCGUGGAGAGGGAAACAACCCAGACCGCCAGCUAAGGUCCCAAAGUAUUGCUAAGUGGGAAACGAUGUGGGAAGGCUCAGACAGCUAGGAUGUUGGCUUAGAAGCAGCCAUCAUUUAAAGAAAGCGUAAUAGCUCACUAGUCGAGUCGGCCUGCGCGGAAGAUGUAACGGGGCUAAGCAAUACACCGAAGCUGCGGCAAUGUCUUUUAGAUAUUGGGUAGGGGAGCGUUCUGUAAGCCGUUGAAGGUGAAUCGUAAGGUUUGCUGGAGGUAUCAGAAGUGCGAAUGCUGACAUGAGUAACGACAAAGGGGGUGAAAAACCUCCUCGCCGGAAGACCAAGGGUUCCUGUCCAACGUUAAUCGGGGCAGGGUGAGUCGACCCCUAAGGUGAGGCCGAAAGGCGUAAUCGAUGGGAAA